GGCAUGAGCCACCGCACCUGGUCCUAUUUCCCUUUUCUAGACUCAAGCUAUACUCCAUAUUUAUUGGAAGCCAGUUACUAAGACCCGCUUACACUCAAAAGGAGUGGAAUCGAGACAGGGUUUCGCCAUGUUGCUAAGGCUGGUCUUGAACUCUCGGACUCAAGUGAUCCUCCUGCCUCAGCCUCCCAAAGUGCUGGGAUUACAGGACUUCUUCCUGCCACCUUGUGAAGAAGGUGCUUUGCUUCCUUUUUGCUUUCCGUCAUGAUUGUAAGUUUCCUGAGGCCUCCCCAGCCAUGCUGAACUGUGAGUCAAUUAAACCUCUUUCCUUUAUAAAUUACCCAGUCUCGGGCCGUUCUUUAUAGCAGUAUGAAAAUGGACUAAUACAGCUUGUGUGAUAAUUUCACUGGAUGAUGUGAAGGCUUUUUUGAAAAUGUUCAAGGCUCUGCCCAAAUAUGUGAUGGUGGAAUUUAUUAUGAUAUGCAAAUGAUACUUAUAAUAGUGAUGUGAUUUUAUUUAUUUAUUUAUUUUUUUUGAGACAGGGUCUCACUCUGUCUCUCAGGAUGGAGUGCAGUGGUGCGAUCACAGCUCACUGCAGUCUCAACCUCCUGGGCUCAAUUGAUCCUCCCACCUCAGCCUCUUGAGCAACUGGGACUACAGGCAUGCACCAACACACC
This 674-nucleotide long non-coding RNA is filed under the name Homo sapiens (human). RNAcentral's name for it is "novel transcript (ENSG00000282744.1)". The record is from RNAcentral. Lineage: Eukaryota; Metazoa; Chordata; Mammalia; Primates; Hominidae.